UAGGCUGUCUCUGCGAGCCGCUCAUCACAGUAUCUACCAUGGCCACCCCGGCAGCUGUCGUCGUACUGCUGUUGUUGGCAGUCGGCCUCAACCAGAUAGCAGGAUCAAUGUAUGAUUCCGACUCCAGGGAAGAAGAAAUUAAUAACGACAUUCCCGUCAUUGCCACCGACAAAAGAGCGUCGAACCUAGGAAGUCGG
Long non-coding RNA from Macrosteles quadrilineatus (aster leafhopper), 197 nucleotides. RefSeq lists it as uncharacterized. Lineage: Eukaryota; Metazoa; Arthropoda; Insecta; Hemiptera; Cicadellidae. The record is from RefSeq and is a predicted model, not a curated record. The transcript is spliced from 3 exons.